RNAcentral lists this ribosomal RNA (407 nucleotides) under uncultured bacterium. RNAcentral's name for it is "partial 16S ribosomal RNA". It matches the Rfam family "Bacterial small subunit ribosomal RNA", at positions 28 to 526 of the family's 1533-position model. The record is from RNAcentral.
GAUGAACGCUAGCUACAGGCUUAACACAUGCAAGUCGCGGGACCGGCGCACGGGUGAGUAACGCGUAUCCAACCUGCCCUUCACCACGGGAUAACCCGGCGAAAGUCGGACUAAUACCGUAUGGUGAAGGCUGGGGAUGCGUCCGAUUAGCUUGGCGGCGGGGUAACGGCCCACCGUGGAUACGAUCGGUAGGGGGUCUGAGAGGAAGGUCCCCCACACUGGAACUGAGACACGGUCCAGACUCCUACGGGAGGCAGCAGUGAGGAAUAUUUGUCAAUGGGCGUAAGCCUGAACCAGCCAAGUAGCGUGCAGGACGACGGCCUAUGGGUUGUAAAGGACUUUUGUCAGGGAAGCGGUACCUGAAGAAUAAGCACCGGCUAACUACGUGCCAGCAGCCGCGGUAAUAC